This 508-nucleotide ribosomal RNA is filed under the name uncultured bacterium. RNAcentral describes it as "partial 16S ribosomal RNA". It matches the Rfam family "Bacterial small subunit ribosomal RNA", at positions 30 to 523 of the family's 1533-position model. The record is from RNAcentral.
AUUGAACGCUGGCGGCAGGCCUAACACAUGCAAGUCGAGCGGCGGCGGGAAAGUAGCUUGCUACUUUUGCCGGCGAGCGGCGGACGGGUGAGUAAUGCCUGGGAAAUUGCCCAGUCGAGGGGGAUAACAGUUGGAAACGACUGCUAAUACCGCAUACGCCCUACGGGGGAAAGCAGGGGACCUUCGGGCCUUGCACGAUUGGAUAUGCCCAGGUGGGAUUAGCUAGUUGGUGAGGUAAUGGCUCACCAAGGCGACGAUCCCUAGCUGGUCUGAGAGGAUGAUCAGCCACACUGGAACUGAGACACGGUCCAGACUCCUACGGGAGGCAGCAGUGGGGAAUAUUGCACAAUGGGGGAAACCCUGAUGCAGCCAUGCCGCGUGUGUGAAGAAGGCCUUCGGGUUGUAAAGCACUUUCAGCGAGGAGGAAAGGUUGAUGCCUAAUACGUAUCAACUGUGACGUUACUCGCAGAAGAAGCACCGGCUAACUCCGUGCCAGCCGCCGCGGUAA